RNAcentral lists this ribosomal RNA (456 nucleotides) under uncultured organism. RNAcentral describes it as "bacterial SSU rRNA". It matches the Rfam family "Bacterial small subunit ribosomal RNA", at positions 346 to 794 of the family's 1533-position model. The record is from RNAcentral.
GUGCACCAGGCGAGAAUUUUUCUCAAUGGGGGCAACCCUGAAGGAGCGACGCCGCGUGGAGGAUGAAGGCUUUCGGGUUGUAAACUCCUGUCAUUUGAGAACAAGUGUAGCCAAGUAACUACUGACUACUUGAUAGUAUCAGAAGAGGAAGAGACGGCUAACUCUGUGCCAGCAGCCGCGGUAAUACAGAGGUCUCAAGCGUUGUUCGGAUUCAUUGGGCGUAAAGGGUGCGUAGGUGGCGCCAUAAGUCGGGUGUGAGAUCUCGGGGGCUUAACUCCGAAACUGCAUUCGAUACUGUGGUGCUUGAGGACUGGAGAGGAGACUGGAAUUCAUGGUGUAGCAGUGAAAUGCGUAGAGAUCAUGAGGAAGACCAGUGGCGAAGGCGGGUCUCUGGACAGUUCCUGGCACUGAGGCACGAAGGCCAGGGGAGCAAACGGGAUUAGAUACCCCUAUAGU